Gallus gallus (chicken) is the source of this 1427-nucleotide long non-coding RNA. The record is from Ensembl. NCBI's taxonomy places the organism in Eukaryota, Metazoa, Chordata, Aves, Galliformes, Phasianidae.
AUAGGAAGCCCGCGUCCUUUUCCUCACAGGGACGUGCUCGUACUGCCCUCCACCUGAGUUCAGAUUUCUGCCCCUAAUUUACCGUAUUAUGGAGAGCUUGCUGGUGCGCCUGCCCUUCUUCAGUAGCUGCUUAACCCUUUGCUGCUCUGAGAUGGCUGCAAAUACCUGAGGCUCAUUCUGACAGUAUACAUACAAAGAAUACAGUGUUCAUUCUGGCACUGCUCUUCUUGGCAGAGUUAAACCUUAAGCAAGCUUGAGAGGUCGUUAUCAAACAAUUUGAGCCUACAGAAUGGGAAAACCAGAUGACCACAGUGGAAGAAUAGGCAGAAGAAUGGGAUUACCCAAGCAUUUCUAAAUUUUAAAAAGACCUAACGAUUGCACAGUUGCAAGGUGAGCUGGAUUAAUCAGGUGGCUCAACAGAGAACAAAACCACCAAAACAGUCGGAUGGGCUAUUUUGAGUCAAAGCACUAGAAAGUACCUGGCAAAGGUAAUUAUGUGGCAACUUCUUCUAAGAGAGGGAAAAGAAGCCAACUUUCUGACAUCCAAAAGUAUUCCUCUGAGGUGUUGUUCAACCUAGACCAAAACUUUCCAUUGUCCUGAUGCUUUCCAGACCAGCAUAAGACACUGAGCUGAGCUUGGAGAGCCCUCUGCAGCUAAGCUCUCAGCCCAGAAAUCCCUCUGAAGACCUUCAGAAAAGCCAUGUUCCAGUGCUUCUUUAAGCUAUGUCUUGACUCAACAAAGAGGAAGACACCCUCAGCAAUGACACACCUCAUUGCAUAUUGCAUCUGCCUUGGAAAAGGAUGAGUUGUCCUCUGGAAUUGCUUUAACACUCAUUUAUAUCUAAUAUAAUAGCUUAGUCUAGGUGUUUACAUUAAGAAAAUGUGAGAUGUUUCUUAACACUGGCGUGCAUUUACAUUGCAUUUACAGAAACAAUCUUGCUUAGGUACCAGAAGCAGUCUGUCCGUAGUCUACAUGUGAAGAACAUUUCUGCCACUCUGAAUUUGAAGACUUAGAGGGCUGGUGGCUCCUGGCGGCUGUAGGAGCUGCAUCUCCCCUCCGUUCUCAUGGAAGCGCAGGGAUCCAGGAAGCUCCUCUGGAUGAUGGGAACAGAGGUCUCUUAACAGGCUACCUAAAAAAUUCACUGCUGCUCACUGCAAACUGGAGAAAAGUGUGCCUCAUUCAUCACUGCACUUCUGCCCAGACGAGGCAAUGUAACACCACUGAAAACAGCUGGGAUGGAGCUGGAAUAGAGCUGCAGUGAAUCAGUGUAGAGAAUAAACUGUCACACUGCUGGAAUUUUACUUGUAGCCUUUGCACAUCAAAUGUACUGCUUGCACUGCAAAGCAGCAGCAUCACUCUUGUAAGCACAAAUAAAACACACCUCUUUGGACAGUCUGAUCUACUUAGAAUAAAAAACUACACUAAU